AUUGAACGCUGGCGGCAUGCCUUACACAUGCAAGUCGAACGGCAGCACGGGAGCUUGCUCCUGGUGGCGAGUGGCGAACGGGUGAGUAAUACAUCGGAACGUACCCUGAAGUGGGGGAUAACGUAGCGAAAGUUACGCUAAUACCGCAUAUUCUGUGAGCAGGAAAGAGGGGGAUCGCAAGACCUCUUGCUUUAGGAGCGGCCGAUGUCGGAUUAGCUAGUUGGUGAGGUAAAGGCUCACCAAGGCGACGAUCCGUAGCGGGUCUGAGAGGAUGAUCCGCCACACUGGGACUGAGACACGGCCCAGACUCCUACGGGAGGCAGCAGUGGGAAUUUUGGACAAUGGGACGCAAGCCUGAUCCAGCCAUGCCGCGUGAGUGAAGAAGGCC
RNAcentral lists this ribosomal RNA (388 nucleotides) under uncultured bacterium. Its description in RNAcentral is "bacterial SSU rRNA". It matches the Rfam family "Bacterial small subunit ribosomal RNA", at positions 30 to 416 of the family's 1533-position model. The record is from RNAcentral.